Molecule: long non-coding RNA, 8032 nt
Filed under: Hordeum vulgare
Lineage: Eukaryota; Viridiplantae; Streptophyta; Magnoliopsida; Poales; Poaceae
Description: long non-coding RNA (HVUL_LNC006383)
Source: RNAcentral
CGGCCUCUCGUCGCCGGACUCGUGGGAGACGUGCACCACGUUGCCGUGGGCGGGCGCGCCGUAGCCUUCGUCGCGGCCGCCUCCGUACGCCGGAGCGGGGGCGUGGCGCCCGUAGUCACCCCCGCCGUACCCGGCCGGCGCGGGCGCGUGGCGCCCGUAGUCGUCCUCGCGCCCCCCACCGUAGGCCGGGGCGCGGCCGCCGUAGUCGUCCUCGCGCCCCCCACCGUAGGCCGGGGCGCGGCCGCCGUAGUCGUCCUCGCGCCCCCCACCGUAGGCCGGGGCGCGGCCGCCGUAGUCGUCCUCGCGGCCGCCACCGUAGGCGGGGGGCGGGGCGCCGUAGGCGACGUCGUCGGGGCGGCGGCCGUAGGACGGGGGAGGGGCGCCGUAGGGGUCGGGCUCUUGGCGGCCGUAGGGGGCGGGGGGGCGGCGGUCGUCGUCGUCGUCGUCGCGGCGGCCGUGGCCGUGGCCGUGGCGGUGAGGGAACUCCAUGAUUGAUUGGCCUGUCGGUGGUGGUGGUCGGGACUCGGGAAAUGGGAACGCGGGGGGGUGGUGGAGGUGGAUCCGAUCCGAGCCUAAAUAUGUCGCGUCGCCGGAGUACAUGUCGACGGGCGGGUGAGGUGAGCGCGCGACGUGGCGCCAAUGGGACGCGCUCGCACGACCGACCGACCGACCGGCCGGGCCGAUUCAAUUUCGCAACUGGGCGAUGGCGAUCGGUGGAUCGCCACGUGCACAGCUUUGCACUACACACGUCGCGGAUGGUGGAAAAAUCGUGGUCGUAUCUCAUCCGUUGUUUCUUUUCCUUCGGAUGCCGCGGGAGAUCGGAUCGUAUCAAGCCAAACCAGUCAAGUACCAGCUCAACAAAAAUCAACCGAGCACUCAAUUAUUGCUUGAAUUUCAAGAAGAAAAAAAGGGAAAAGGAGAAUUCGAUGUGGUGUGUACGCUGUGGCCCAAUGGUGCAGCUGCGAGUUCUGAUUUCUUGUUUGAUUGGGGUUGCAUGCGCGGAGGCAGCGGGCGCCAGACGGCGAAUCCUAUUUGACGCUGCAAGCGUCGGUUAAAGUGUAUUUUUCUUAACUGACGCCUGCAGUUUUCGGUCAUGGCCGACCCUUCGGGAGGCGGUUUUUCCGUCUUUGUGAAGGUUCCGCAAGCUUUCUAGAUGGAUUUUCUUAUUUAUGUUUUUUAGGACUGGUUCUUCUUUGGUUUAUCUUUUUUUCUUUAUUAUUUUUAUUACUUUUUCAUUUUCGUUUUAAUAUUUAUAUAAUUUUUACUUUUUGAAAAACGCAGCCAUUUCUUGAUUAACUUUUUCUCAAACGAACAAAUAUUUUUUCAGAUCAAUGAACCUUUUUCAGAAUUAUAUGUUCUUUUAUUAAAAUUCUAUGAACAUUUGUGAAUAUCGAUGAACUUUUUUCAAAUUAUGAUGAACGUUUUUCUGAUUGAUGAACUUUUUGAAAUGGAUGAACCUUUUUAAGAAUUGUGAAAAAAAAUUCAGUUCAACAAUUUUUUUAAAAAAAAAUCAAAUUCAUGAACUAAUUUUCAAAAUCCGUUAACUUUUUAAAAAUGUGAGAAGUUUUUUUUCAGAUCACAAUGAAUUUUUUCAAAUUCGUUAACUUUUUGUUUCAAAAUUGGUGAACCAUUUUUCGCUUUUAUGAACCUUUUAUGUUCUUUUUUUUUUGGUUUUUAUUAUAAAAAACCCACCUUGAGCCUGGGCCGGCCCGUUAUGCACGGUGUGUGGGCGCUAGUUCUCCUAGCUGGCGCUUAAGGCGCCGCCUCGCCGCUAUGAGCUCCCGGGCCAUACCCCCCCCCCCCACCCAAGGAACUAGUAGUAAUAUAUUGGCUUAAUUAUACGAUGGACUUAAUCCACUUGUUGACUCGUACCUGCUAAUCGAUCCACACGAUCAACGAUACGCACACACUAAUCCAAUUUGAUGUUAUCGACUCUUUCCUCGGCGACGCACCAGUCGCUAGGGUUUCAUUGACGCCGCCGUGCUGGUCGCCGGUUGUCGCGUCGGGCCGCCACCGCCGACCCGCUGUGCUCCGCCCGUCAUCGACCGUGCUGCCGCCGACCAUGCAUCAAUCGAGUACAGAGAGUCCACACAGGCUAAGAAGUUGAACGGCGCUGCCGCAAGCCCACACACAAUCCCUAACCGAUGCUGUGCAGCUGUGUUGUGAUCAGAAGACGAGGUCUUGAUGUAAUGUAAGGUGUACAAUUGUCUAGUGUCUACAGACCAGGUUUCAUAUUAUUGUGGUUGUCACUUGUUGGUUUGAUUCAUUCAAUAGAUCAAUUAAUCAAUUGUUAGUACUUAGUAGUUAGUAAUAAUUUAUUUUGAUACUUGUGAGAUCAAUUACAUAUUUUCUUUUUACUUAAUGGAAGAACUGAAAACUGCAUAGGUCAUGAAUAAGAGGAAGACAUCACCGAUAAGUAAUGGUUUCAACCAAUUGCUACAAACUCUAACUCUGCGAUUGAAAAUGCAAAUGCAAGUGUCAAGGUAGAUGUCACACAGCAACCCACUGGUCAUAAUGUCCCCAAUCUCAGUUCAGUUGAUAUGCCACCCCCCGAGCAAAAUAUUCAGGUAUCUGUGGAAGUUCUAGAACAGCAAAGAAUUGGAAGCACACCAUUUGAGCGAGACCCUGGAAAGCGCAAAUAAAUUUGGGAACUCCCUCUUGAGAAGCAAAAUGAAGCACCUUGAUCGUAAAUCUCUCGAAAACUCGUCACUAUAGCUUAUCUGUGGUGGCACCAAUACUGUUAGAGAUUGGAGAGCUAGUUUCCUCUUUUUCUUCCUUUUACAUUUAACAUGUAAAUCCGUCAUCCAACGUACCGGGCCAUCUUUGUGCAAAGUUUGCUUGCACACUGACGGUCAUCGAAAGUUGGAUGGAUUUGAGACCCUCUUUCCUGCUCAUCAGCUUAUUGAUUGAUGAUGCCAGGAGGCAGGAGCUCUUUUGUUGAAUAAAGCUCUCUGACUGGAACACAAAAAAAGACACAACCAUUCAAAAAUGAUUGUGACAUUUACAAAAGUAUUCACGCUCUUCAAACAUAUGUUCACAACAUUUUCAGGAAAUGUCUAUACAACAGUAAAGAAAGUUAUGUAACUUCAAAUAAAUUGUACUACCAUUAAAAAAACUUUGUGUCAUCAUAAAAAAGGUUCACACGUUUCAAAAACAUGUUCGUAUUGUUUUUCUACAUAUGUUCGUACCAUUCAAAAAAUGUUUGUGACAUUGAGAAAAAUGUGCAUGUGUUUCGGAAAAAAUGUUGUUGAUUUUUUUAUACAAAUGUAAAAAAAAGUUUGCUUAGUUUAGAAGAAAAAAUAUUAUACCAUAAAAAAUAUGAUCAAAUAUGUAUUCCAAAAAAGUUGGACACGUAUUCAAAAAAAAUGUUCAAAGCAUUUAAAAAAAAACUAAUGUGUAUCAAAAAUAGUUGCUGAUGUACACAAAAAUGUACAACAUAUAUGAAAAAAUAGACAUGUAUUGAGAAAAUGGGGAAAUAUUAAACGUAUACGAAAUAGACAUCUAUUGUGGCAGUUCAAGACAAUAAUCGUAGUCGUCAAAAGGUUCUUCCUUUGCGACAGCAAGAACAACUUGGUGGGUAAUUUGUCAAUUCUUAAAGCCAUUCAUUCACCAUCACUUGAUUAAUUUGUAACUCAGCUAAUUAGCCACUAGCUACGACUAACAUCACUUGCAUAGCUUGUGGGGCAUCACUUUGCUUUCAGCACAAGAAAGUACUUAUAGUUAAUAAGUUAUUUGAGCUAAGUAGCAAUCCAAUGUGCGACGUGGAGUUUCUCAGCCCGCGCUCAACUGAGCUCGAAUGAACAGUAAAAGUAAAGUGAGAAAAACUGCGGCAAACCUAUUUAGCGUGACAGGCAUUGCUUAAAGGAAAAAGUUGCUAACCGGCGCCUGCAGGGCUCCGUAAUGGGCGGGCCCAUGUUGAGAUCCUUCAUGAACUUUUUUUAGCCUGUGAAAUGUUUUAGCCCGUGAUCUUUUUUUGAAAUCGGUAAACUUUUUUGAAAAUCAAUGAUAUUUUUUGGAAAUUCAUGAACAUUUCUGAAAAUCAAUGAACAUAAUUUAAAAUUCAUGAUUUUUUUCAAAAUCAGUGAAAUAUUUUUAAAAAUUGAUGAACUUUUUCAAAAUCAGUGAACUGUUCUUAAAAAUUGAUGAACUUUUUUCAAAAUCAAUGAUUGUUUUUUCGAAUCUUUAAACUUUUUGAAAAUCCAUGAAAAUAUUUUUCAAAAAUAGGUGAACAUUUUCAUAAUAAUUGAACUUUUUUGAAAAUCUGAACUUUUUAAAAUUCUGUGAACUUUUCUCAAAUUUUUAGUGACCAAGACAUUUUUUACAUGGGAGGAGUGCUUCAGGCGCCGGUUUCCCUAACUGGCGCUGAAGGCGCCAAAUACGAGGGGACUUCCUAUACCGUACCUUCAGCGUCCUCUAAGCCAAUUGGCGCUCGAUGUACCUUCCUAUACCGUCCUAUUUAAACUUUUUAAAAAUCCAUGAACAUAUUUUUCAAAAAUAGGUGAACUUUUUUCAUAAUAAUUGAACUUUUUUGAAAAUCUGAACUUUCUAAAAUUCUGUGAACUUUUCUCAAAUUUUUAAUGACCAAGACAUUUUUUACAUGGGAGGAGUGCUGCAGGCGCCGGUUUCCCUAACUGGCGCUGAAGGCGCCAAAUAGGAGGGGACUUCCUAUACCGUACCUUCAGCGUCCUCUAAGCCAAUUGGCGCUCGAUGUACCUUCCUAUACCGUCCUCUUUAAACUUUUUGAAAAUCCAUGAAUAUAUUUUUCAAAAAUAGGUGAACUUUUUUCAUAAUAAUUGAACUUUUUUGAAAAUCUGAACUUUCUUAAAUUCUGUGAACUUUUCUCAAAUUUUUAAUGACCAAGACAUUUUUUACAUUGGCUGGCCCAUGAGGAGGAGUGUUGCACGCGCCGGUUUCCCUAACUGGCGCUGAAGGCGCCAAAUAGGAGGGGACUUCCUAUACCAUACCUUCAGCGUCCUCUAAGCCAAUUGGCGCUCGCUGUAUCGAAUUCAUGGGCCGACCAACGACGCGCAACACAAGCGCAAAAGUCCUAAAAAAUGAUGGGGAUUGAUCUGCGACGGCGCGCUGGCCCAAACUUUUGGCCGGCCGCGCGCGAGCGGCAGGAUCCACCAACCCCGCGUCGUCCGCACCAUUGGAUCCGCAUGCAACAUUUUUUUUUCCUAUGCAGCAAAAUUUCGAUUCGAUGCGAUGCAGCAAUUUUUUUAACGGUUGCAACAAAAAACAAAAAUUGUGCCAAAAAAAUAUUUACGUGAUCGUAGCAAAAAAAUAAAGCUGAUGGUACGUGGUAGCAAAAGUCAAACGCCGAUUGUAACAAAUAUUUAUGUGACGUGUAUGCAACUUUUUUAGUGAACAGUUGCAGCAAACAUGAUGCCGGUUGUAGCAAAAAUUAACACGGUUGUAGCAAAAAGUAAAAAACAUCGAUUGUAACGAAAAAUCCAACGAACUGGUGUUGCAACCAAACGUAUAUGCAGCUUUUUUACUGAAACAAAAAAUAGUAAAAAAACGCUUGCAGCAAAAAUGACGCUGGUUGCAACAUAUUUAGACGAAAAAUGUUGCAUCCAUUGACCAGAAAAGCGCGCGGGUGGAAAAAAUGUUGCAAGGACCCGCGCGCGCGAGGGGAUGACCGGCGCGCGGGUGGGAAACGAUUCCCAAGAAUGAUUGGGGCUUUGACUCGAACUCAGGUCCUCUCAUUCCUACAUCUUCUCUGCUAACCACUAGUCCUAGAAGCUAAUAGUAAUCAACUGAACCUCAAAAAUAUUUAAGAAUACUCUAGCCACGUAGUUCCAAAAUCUGAAAGUUCACAUAUUUUUAAAAAGUUCACGAUUGUUUUCUUAAAAAAGCCUCACGUAUUCGAAAAACAAAAUCACGAAAUUGAAAAUUCAUUAAUUUGAGAAUAAAAUUUCACAAAUUUUCAAAAAAAUCUCUAAUUUAAGAAAAGUUUGUAAGUUUGAAAAACGUUAACAGAUUUGAAAAUGUUCACAAGAUCCACAUAAGUUCACCAAAUUGUUAAAAAAAUUCAAGAAUCUUUAAAAAGUUCCAUCAAAUUCGAAAAAAGUUCAUCAAUUUUGAAAAAAGUUCAACGGAUUUCAAAACAAGUUCAUUGAUAUUUUUUUUUUAAGUUCAUCGAAUCUGCAACAGUUUUAUCAAUUUAAAAAAAGUUCAGUGUAUUUUCAAAAAAGUUUAUCAUUUUUUAUAAAUAUUUUGAACAAAAACUUGGAAAAGGUUCAUUGGAUUCGAAAAAGGUUCACCGAAUUUUGAAAAUUUCAUCAAGUUUAAAAAUAGUUCACCAUUUCGUAAAAAGUUCACAAAUUCAAAGGAAAAAAAUCAUCAAUGUUGGAAAAAGUUCAUUGGUUUUUCUAAAAAAAGUUCAUUGUAUUUGAAAAAGUUUGUCAAAUUUGAAAGAAGUUCACUGAACUAGGAAAGAGUUCAUCAAAUUUUAAAAAUUGUGGAUGGAUUAAAAAAUAAACGACUAAGAAAGAAGGAAAAUUAAAAAGAAAAUAAAAACAAAAACAGAAAACAGAUAAAAGGAAAAAUGAAAAAAGAAGAAACAAUGAUAAGGUAAAAAUGACGUAUGUUGACACAUCAAGGAAUGUGGUUACCACUCUUCGCACCGAGCUAGGAGAUCCUGGGUUCGAAUCCUACUCCUUUCCAAUAUUUGAAUGAACAGACAGACGUAAAUGGGCUAACCGGCGCCUGCAGCAUUAAAUAGGAAAUGCCGAAAUGACGAAUAGGAGGUCCCAAAAAACUGUGUGUGCCUGUGCUAGAUUGGGUCAGGCGCAUGUCUGCCUCGCGCACUAGGCUUGGCCCAUCAUCGGUGUGCUUGAGACGAGGAAGUCUUAAGCGAGACAUAGAGGCUCUCACGAAGUAUAGCAUUGUGGACUGGAGUAGAAUAUAGUUCUUUUAAGCUAAGCCUAACCCCCUUUAUGGCCCAAUACAUAUAUAAACACUACACACUCUGUGCCGGCCUACAUGCACUGACCCGAACUUGUACUCGAUCUGGUCAUGGCCCACAAAAUUGGAUCAUUCUACGUUCGAUUCUCCUUUUCUGCUGAAAAAAAUGCAAGACAAUAGAGCAUUUUUUAGGAAGCAAUACCACUAUAUAUGUUGUCAUUGCAACAAUCUAUUAUAUUAAGAGCAUCUACACCCGGACCCCUCAUACAUGUCUCAAACGCCUCGACAGGCCGUCCGACCAGUGAUCGGUCACAAAAACGCGACCCAACCGAACCUCUUAAAUCCGUCUCAAACGCCCGAGCUGACCGGCACUGCUCAUAUCCGGCCCAAAUAUAGGGCUGAUAUGGGGCGGUCCGGUCACACCGGGUGUGUCUGCCCGGUAAGCCCGGUCCAACACUGACCCCACCGUUGUCCCACAAAAUCCCCACUUUGGCCGCCUCGUUCCGAACUCUAGCUCACUCUCUCUCGCUCUGUCCCCUCCUCCCCCUCUUCGAGUAUGAUCCCAUCGUGUCCAAUGUCGAUCUCCGACAGCCGCUCCGGCUCCGACGGUCGCUCCGGCUCCAACGGCUCGGACAUCGACCCCGAGGAGUUGGCCCUCCGCAUCGCCUUGGAGCGCGGUCCAAGGUGGAGACGGCCGGAAGCUCCGGAUCUAGCGCUUAGCCACUGGUCCCGCGUCGACGGAUCUAUGACAUCGAAGCGGGACCCUCCCGGCACGCGAGCAGCUCCGUCGGGACUGCGUCCGCACCUGCCCUGCGUGCUGCCCUUUCCCCGCCGGCCGCUCCUCCACGCGGGCAUCAUUGGGUCCUAGUACCCGCACCAUUGGCCUGCACGGGCACUCCGGAAUCGGAGGCGCGCACCGCCCACCGUGAGAGGCAGCGGGCAAGGGAGAGGGAAACAAAGCAGUCUGUGCGCCACCGUCGCGAGAUGCCGGCUGAGCCCGACAAGGACGAACGCCUCCUCGCAUGGGUGUACCUCGGGUCCCUCACGACGGCAGAGACGAGUGUUCGACACCUUCGUCAGAAGAACGCCAAGGCGUUUCAGCUUGCUAUUGAGCAGUCGGAGC